AGCGAACGUUAGCGGCAGGCCUAACACAUGCAAGUCGCACGAGAAUCCGGCUUCGGUCGGUAGUAAAGUGGCGGACGGGUGAGUAACACGUGGAUAAUCUGCCCUUCGCGGGGGACGAACAGUCCGAAAGGAUUGCUAAUACCGCAUACGUCAGCGAGGUCUUCGGACCUUGUUGGGAAAGGAUGGCCUCUUCAUGAAAGCUAUCACCGAAGGAUGAGUCCGCGGCCCAUCAGCUAGUUGGCGGGGUAAUGGCCCACCAAGGCUUAGACGGGUAGCUGGUCUGAGAGGAUGAUCAGCCACACUGGAAC
This 308-nucleotide ribosomal RNA is filed under the name uncultured bacterium. RNAcentral's name for it is "bacterial SSU rRNA". It matches the Rfam family "Bacterial small subunit ribosomal RNA", at positions 29 to 319 of the family's 1533-position model. The record is from RNAcentral.